RNAcentral lists this ribosomal RNA (484 nucleotides) under uncultured bacterium. RNAcentral describes it as "partial 16S ribosomal RNA". It matches the Rfam family "Bacterial small subunit ribosomal RNA", at positions 30 to 507 of the family's 1533-position model. The record is from RNAcentral.
AUUGAACGCUGGCGGCAGGCCUAACACAUGCAAGUCGAGCGGAUGAAGGGAGCUUGCUCCUGGAUACAGCGGCGGACGGGUGAGUAAUGCCUAGGAAUCUGCCUGGUAGUGGGGGAUAACGUCCGUAAACGGGCGCUAAUACCGCAUACGUCCAGAGGGAGAAAGUGGGGGAUCUUCGGACCUCACGCUAUCAGAUGAGCCUGGGUCGGAUUAGCUAGUUGGUGGGGUAAAGGCCUACCAAGGCGACGAUCCGUAACUGGUCUGAGAGGGUGAUCAGUCACACUGGAACUGAGACACGGUCCAGACUCCUACGGGAGGCAGCAGUGGGGAAUAUUGGGCAAUGGGCGAAAGCCUGAUCCAGCCAUGCCGCGUGUGUGAUGAAGGUCUUCGGAUUGUAAAGCACUUUAAGUUGGGAGGAAGAACAGUAAGUUAAUACCUUGCUGUUUUGACGUUACCAACAGAGUAAGCACCGGCUAACUUCGUG